Non-coding RNA from Oryza sativa Japonica Group (Japanese rice), 330 nucleotides. The record is from RefSeq and is a predicted model, not a curated record. NCBI's taxonomy places the organism in Eukaryota, Viridiplantae, Streptophyta, Magnoliopsida, Poales, Poaceae.
CAGCAGUGGAUAGGAACGUAGUGACCAGUAAAAAAAAUACAAAUAAAUGUCUGGGAGGUGAAAGCUAUCCAUUCCUCUCAUAAAUUAGGCAGGUGUCUCCUUCAGUCCGAAGGAAGCUGUUGCUAUAAAAGCCUACCAAAACCUAGAAAUACUACUCGCACCAUAGAAGCCAGCGUGAGCACAGAGCUGCGCAGAUCAAGGAGGUGGGAUGCAGAGGAAGAACAACAAAAGAGAAGGCAAGACUGCGUCCAUCAACUAUUUUAUUUAAUCAUCUCUAACUAAAUUCGCUUACCUGUAUUAUAUAUUGGGAUGAUGAUACUAACAAUCUAA